CCUACGGGAGGCAGCAGUGGGGAAUCUUGCGCAAUGGGCGAAAGCCUGACGCAGCCAUGCCGCGUGUAUGAUGAAGGUCUUAGGAUUGUAAAAUACUUUCACCGGUGAAGAUAAUGACUGUAGCCGGAGAAGAAGCCCCGGCUAACUUCGUGCCAGCAGCCGCGGUAAUACGAAGGGGGCUAGCGUUGCUCGGAAUUACUGGGCGUAAAGGGAGCGUAGGCGGACAUUUAAGUCAGGGGUGAAAUCCCGAGGCUCAACCUCGGAACUGCCCUUGAUACUGGGUGUCUUGAGUGUGAGAGAGGUAUGUGGAACUCCGAGUGUAGAGGUGAAAUUCGUAGAUAUUCGGAAGAACACCAGUGGCGAAGGCGACAUACUGGCUCAUUACUGACGCUGAGGCUCGAAAGCGUGGGGAGCAAACAGGAUUAGAUACCCUGGUAGUCCACGCCGUAAACGAUGAUUGCUAGUUGUCGGGAAGCUUGCUUCUCGGUGACGCAGCUAACGCAUUAAGCAAUCCACCUGGGGAGUACGGUCGCAAGAUUAAAACUCAAAGGAAUUGACGG
This 560-nucleotide ribosomal RNA is filed under the name uncultured Brevundimonas sp. Its description in RNAcentral is "bacterial SSU rRNA". It matches the Rfam family "Bacterial small subunit ribosomal RNA", at positions 338 to 916 of the family's 1533-position model. The record is from RNAcentral. Lineage: Bacteria; Pseudomonadati; Pseudomonadota; Alphaproteobacteria; Caulobacterales; Caulobacteraceae.